ACUCGGGCUCCGGUGAGCCUGCUGCGGGGCCCUGUCUUCGCCCUGGACCUGCCUUCCUCCAGUUUCUCUGCGCCCUGGGGCGGGUGUAUACUUGUGCAACAGUGUGACACAGGGCCUCAGCUUCUGCAGGGUCCCUUCGUCAAUCACUAAGGGCUGAGCCUGAUCCUCCGUCAUCUGUCAAGCGUAGCUGCCACCAAGAAGCCUCUCAACAGUCCAGGCUGCUUCAGCCUGGGUCACAAGGCUCCAAAGCCAAGAAGUCCAGUGAUAAGUUCUAGCCAGCCAUAUACCACAUCAUCAGAGGUCGUGAAACCUUGAGGCAUGUGUGGGGCAGAAGCAAUGUCUACCAUAUCGUUUCCAUAAGAAAUAAGAGCUGGAGAAGUUGCUAUUCAGAGAUCAGGAUCAAGAGAGAGAUUCUUCAGGAUGUUGGAAGAAUGUGAACACCAGUAUCAUUUCUGCUUGGGACAUUGAUUUGAGUCUUGGUGGGAACUUUUGGCUCCAUUCAUGCUGACUAGGUCAGUACAUGAAAAGAACAUAAACGUGGAGAGUGGAGCUUAGUGUACUGCACCUGGGAAGGGUGAUGAUGGCAGGAUGUCUUCAAGGAGCGACUGACAGACAACUAGGAUGAUUCAGACUUGGGCAUUUGGCAGACAUUUUUUGAAAAAGGAACCAAGCGAGCCUGUCACUUCAAGGAAAACAACCUUCUGAAGACUGGUAUGUCCAGGAUCGAGGUGCUGGCAGAUUUUUUUUGUCUAGCAAAGGCCUUCAUCCUGGCUCAUAGAUGAUCAUAGAUGAUCAUCUCCUUGCUAUGGCCCACGUGGUACAAGGGGCAAGGAAGCUCUCUGGGGUCUUUCUUAUAAGGGCACUAAUCCUGAGGCACCUGGGGGGCUUAGUCAGUUGAGCAUCUGACUCUUGAUUUUGGUUCAGGUCAUGAUCUCACGGUUCAUGAGUUUGAUCCCCAUAUCAGGUUCUGUGCUGACAGUGUGAAGCCUGCUUAGGAUUCUCUCUCUCCUCCUCUCUCUCUCUGCUUCUCCCCUGCUCAUUCUCUCACUCUCUCUCAAACUAAAUGAACUUAAAAAAAAGGGCAUUAAUGUGGGCUCCACCCUCAUGACCCAAUCACUUCCCAAAAGCCUCACCUGACAUAUUGGGGAUUAGGUUUCAAUGUGAGACUUUUUUGGAGGAAACAAAAACAUUUAGCCUAUGGCAAUAAUGUUAUUAAUAAUUUUAUAUUAUUAUAUGCCAAAAUGAUAAUAUUUUGAUAUGUUAAGUGAAAUAAACUACUGGAAAAAUUAUAAUUACAUAUGUGGCUCACAUUUGUAACUCCUGUUUU
This is a long non-coding RNA of Acinonyx jubatus (cheetah), 1327 nucleotides long. RefSeq lists it as uncharacterized. The record is from RefSeq and is a predicted model, not a curated record. Lineage: Eukaryota; Metazoa; Chordata; Mammalia; Carnivora; Felidae. The transcript has 6 exons.